This 253-nucleotide ribosomal RNA is filed under the name uncultured bacterium. RNAcentral describes it as "partial 16S ribosomal RNA". It matches the Rfam family "Bacterial small subunit ribosomal RNA", at positions 524 to 776 of the family's 1533-position model. The record is from RNAcentral.
UACGGAGGGUGCAAGCGUUAUCCGGAAUCACUGGGUUUAAAGGGUGCGUAGGCGGCUUGAUAAGUCAGAGGUGAAAGCUCACCGCUUAACGGUGGAACUGCCUUUGAUACUGUCAGGCUUGAAUCAGCGCGAGGCAGGCGGAAUGUGGCAUGUAGCGGUGAAAUGCUUAGAUAUGCCAUAGAACACCGAUUGCGAAGGCAGCCUGCCAGAGCUGUAUUGACGCUGAGGCACGAAAGCGUGGGGAGCGAACAGG